AUCAUCAAGCCAUUUCAAGAUCUCGUCACGCUUGACGGCAUCAGAUCCUGACAGACUCUUUCCCUUGUGAUCAAUCAAUGGCCCAACAUUGAAAAUAGGUGGUAUAUCAUCUCUAGCCAAAAGAGCACUAACUGCAUGGGACUCAGCUUCUGAAAAUGUAUUAACAAUGAUACCGUUGGAGUCCUUAAACUCUCUUCCAUGGUUUGCCAAAGCCUCAUAUUCCACAUCGGUGUGCAAUACCGGCAUAACACGGUAAGGCACGGGAUUUGAAUAACAGGGGAUGAUAUAGUCAGGGUCAGUAGGGCUAAACUUAGGCUCACCCUUGUCUUCUCUAUCUGAAAGGUAAAGCGUCAUGGCAAGAAAGGCAGCAUCAGAAGUGAAAAAAACAUGAGAAGGGACACCAAGUUCUUUUGCAACAUCAAUAAAUACAGUGCAAAACAUAUCAACAACAACACUAGCAAUUGGUGCAGGGUUGUGGGCCAUGACUAGGUUAACAAUAGUAUCUUUCACAAGGGUUUUGUGAUCAUUGAUGUAAGAAGUAAAAGCACUUGCAGGGCUUACAGCUAAAGCUUCUGGAGGAGGUGUAGGUAUGGUAUCAGGAAUUUCGACGAACCUGAUUUCUGUAUGAAUUGAAGCAAGCGAUUCGGUGUUCUUGCUUAUGCCACCGUAAAAUGGAUUGUUGAUGGCAAGCAUGGUUAUCAAGAAACUGUCGUUUCUCUCAAGAACCAUCUUUGCUAACUGAACAGCUGCUACAAGGUGGCCAAAUCCAGGUGCAGGGACAAAGACUAGCUGUGUUUUCUUCAUUUUGGAGGUUUUGAAUGUUCAAUAUGGUGAUCCUUGUUUGCUUUAUAAGGGGCUCAAGGUCAAUGCCACAAUGCCAGCUGUUAUGAUUUUUUUUUUCUCUAAAUUAAUCAUCAAAUUGGAUAUGACAAUUAUUAUUACAAAGAUUGAUUUCAUAGAAAAAUUUUCCUGUAAUAUUUUUAAACAAUUCAAAUUAAAUAAAAGAAAAGAAAGCUAGGUUUCAUUUUAUUUUGAAGUUAUAUUUUUAAUAUAUAUAUAUAUAUAUAUAUAUAUAUAUAUAAACUAAACUAAACUAAAAAUAUUAUUUUAUUUUUAAUAAAUAAAAUUAAAUAAAUAUAUUUGUUUAACAACAUUCAUCUAUCCCAUAAGAUAUCAUUUAUCUUUAUUACAAAAAAUUAUAGAUGAUUUACUAGAAUGAUUUAAUUAAGUAUAACUUGAUUAAAAUAUAUAAUAGAAAUUAAGGAUUAGAAUAUAAUUAAUACAAGGAUUAUAUUUCUAUAUCUAGAAAAAUCAAGUAAGGAUUUAAUUGAUUAUAUUUUUAAAAUUACCCUUACAUAAUAUAUGGAUAUUUUUAAAAUUAUCUUUACAUAAUAUAUGGAUAUUAUUUAAAGGCAAAUAUAUAUAUAUAAUCAUUUAUACGGUUUUGAGAUUUUCUAUAAUUAUAAAGUUAAGCCUAUUAUUUUGUAAGUAAAAAAAUAAUGAUUGUCUAUUUUAUAAAAAAACUACGUAAAAACAAUAUUAGAGCUAGCACUCUAGGCAUAACAAUCUCUCUUUUCUAAAUAGAGAUUUAAGAGAUUUCUCACGGGUAGUUUGUAUGGAUUAUCAUUAGAGACCGAAUAAUUUAACGAUUUGUGGUUUGCGACAACCCAACUUUUAAAGAAUAAUUUAAAAUAAAUAAAUUAAAUAUUCAAAUAAUAAAUCUUUAAAUAAUUUUAAAUCUAAUCUACAUGAUAUAAGAACAACUUAAUAUAUUCAAUCAUGCGAAUUCUUUGUAGUUUUUAAUGUAUCAAAAUGGAUUUAAUAAUACCUUACUAUUAAAAAGAAGAAGAAGUCAACAACAAUGAUUGAUUGUGAUUGCAUUUAAUAGCUAGACAGUUACAUGGCUAGAAAGAAUCCAAAGAUAAUAUAUAAUAAAUGGCAAUUUCGUAGGAAUUGCUGAAGUGUUAAAUUGUGGAUGAAGUUUUUGAUGAAUUUUUAUUUUAUUCUAUUGUACUUUUCAUCAUUGGUAGUUAUUUAUGAAAAUAUUAUAUCACUAUUUAUAUCAAAAUUAUUGACGCAAAAAUUCUAUCACUGUUAUCUUCUAAAAUUAUUGAUGAAAAAUUUAUCAUUGACAUUUCUGAUUUUAUUUAUUAAUUUUCUGGUAAUAAUAAUAAUCUUAUGCUCAGAUUUAUAAUUUUAUAAUUUAAAAAAUAGAAUUGAUAUCUGAAACUUAAAAGAAGAUUAAACCUUUCAUUUUUUAAUUAUAUGAAGUAUUGAUAAUACAACUAAUCAAACAUAAACUAACAAUCAUUUAAACAAAAUUUAAGAAUUUAUGGUAGAAUUGCAUAAAUUAAUUUUAAAAAUUACUUUUUAUAAAUUUUUAUCAAGUAAUUCUACAAUCAAUUCCUAAAGCCUAACAAUCAUUUAAACAAAAUUUAAAAAUUGAGGAUAGAAUUACUUAAUUGGUAAAAAAUUAUGAAAAUAAGCGAACUUUGCUAAAAUCAUGUAUAUUCAUCCUUAUGAUUAAAUGACAUUUAAAUGUCUAAAGUAAAGAAUACCUUCAUCUAGCCAAAACAAAAUUCAGGGAUCUUCUACAAUGAAGACGCUAUCGUUUCAUGCACACAUCAUAUAUAAACGAGAAAUUCAAAUCAACAUAAUAUAUAUAUAUAUAUAUAUAUAUAUAUAUAUAUAUAUAUAUAUAUAUAUAUAUAUAUAUAUGUCCAACUAUUCUAAUGGCACUAAUUUUCAACUACUAAUGAAAAAAAAUAUUAAAAAGUAAUUUUUUAUAUUUUUUAAAUUAAUUUAGAUAUUAAUUAAAAUAAAGUAUACAAUAUUAAGAUUAUUCAAAAUGUUAGUCUCACUUCAUGCAUAAACUAAUAUGAGCUUAUCUUUUAAUGUAUCAUGAAUGAUUUUAUUUUAUUGGUGUGGGUUUUUUUUAUAUAAUUCUGGAUAUUUUAACUACUUUAUGUGUAACUCAAUUAAGUUUUUAAAAUUCUAAAUUUUACAACCAUGUAAUGUGUAUUGAUGGGGCAGGCAGGGAGGUGACUGUUUCUGGAGGGACGGGUGCUUGUAAAUUGGAUAGUGAGGGGUCGACAAGCCAUGGCCAUAAGCAAAAAGAUAAAGGACGAGGAGGGAGAAAAAAAAAUUGUGCAUAAUUUGUGGAGCACGGUGGGACAGGGAUAAUAAUUUAAUAUGAGACUUUUGAAUAUUAACCGAAAACCUACUUCUUUAUUGAAUAUUCAAAAAAAAUAAACCAAAAUGAUACAUUUAUUUAUAUAUAUAUAAUAAAAAAAAACACACACACGGAUAUAUCCAUAUAAAUACCAAACAUUACCGGAAUUAAUAAUUUUAGAGACAAUAUUUUUUUUUUGUUAGUAUUUAUACCAACAAUCCAUUGGUAUAAAAUUUAUCGAUAAAUUUAUAAAAAGAAUUCAUUUGCUAGUAAAAAAAAAACACCAAUGUUUUUACAAAUAAAAAGUUUGUAUAAAAGAAAUCACUUGUUUUAAUACUUUAAUGGAAUUAUUUUGUUAGUGAUUGAUAAUGGUAUUUAUUGUAAUUUUAUUUCAAUUCUUUAUAAAAUAUUAAUGGAAUUAUUUUCAUUCAUGAUGUAAUAAUAUUGAAGUGACAUAUAAAGUAAAUUGUUCCCCUUACCUUUGGAAUAUAUUGAGUUACUACGGGUUGUGUCCAUUGAUACAUCCGUCUGCAAGAGUUAAAAAAAUGCCCUUUUCUUUUAGUACAAUUAUGUUUUUUGUUAGUUUUUAUUUUUCACAUUCUAACCCUGGCGCCAUUAGAAAAAGAUAUGUCUCCACCACAAAACUAGGCAAAAAUAUGACGGGGUGCCUUUAAGUUUGUAUUUCAUGGCUAUGAUCUAAAUCUGGUUUGCCAAAAACUUCGUGAGCAAAGUAAAAUUGGCGUAACAACUGAAUUUAGGCCAAGUUUCAAAUUUUUGUUUACUUUUCUGAAAGUUUUGAUUUAUGGUUUCCAAUUUUCCAAGUCAAAUUUAUGGUUGAUACAAACUAAGCAAGGUAAUUUAAGAAGUUUUUUGCAAAACACGAGAAGGGACCCCAAGUUCUUUUGCAACAUCAAUAAAGGCAGUGCAAAACAUAUCAACAACAACACUAGCAAUUGGUGCAGGGUUGGGGGCGCCAUGACUAGGUUAACAAUAGUAUCUUUCACAAGGGUUUUGUGAUCAUUGAUGUAAGAAGUAAAAGCACUUGCAGGGCUUACAGCUAAAGCUUCUGGAGGAGGUGUAGGUAUGGUAUCAGGAAUUUCGACGAACCUGAUUUCUGUAUGAAUUGAAGCAAGCGAUUCGGUGUUCUUGCUUAUGCCACCGUAAAAUGGAUUGUUGAUGGCAAGCAUUGUUAUUGAAGAAACAAAGAGAAAGAAGAAUCUUAUUUUCAUAUCAAUUCUGUUAGAGCAGCAUAGGUAUGUAUACAAUGGAUACGAUGGAUUUCUGUUACAGCAGAGAAAGAUGACUAUUAAUUCUCCUACAUUCAUGGUCAUAUCAGAAUCUGUCUCUAUUUACUACUAUCCUAUCAAUUGUAUACAGAGCAAUAGCAAUAUUGCAGUAGGGAGCAAGUUCUGCAACUGGUGUUGGAGUUAAACUAAAACUCUGCAAUUUGUUUUGGAGCCGGACUCUGCAAUGUGAUCUAUAGUAGGACUUUGCAAUCGUGUUAGAGUGAGAAUCUGUUGCUUUCCUUCAUUACUCCCCCUCAAGCUGGAUUAAGGGGGUUGAUUGAGUCAGGUUUGGAUAAUAGACGAUAGAAGUGAGCUGAAGUUAGAACCUUUAUAAAUACAUCAGCUAGUUGAUGGUGACUGUGGAUGUAACAUGGUUUGAUAAUCUGCGAUAGAAUUUAUUGACGAAUAAAAUGAUAAUCAACUUUAAUGUGUUUAGUUUUUUGGUGAAAUACAUAAUUAGUUGUAAUAUGCAUAGCAACUUGAUUAUCACAAAACAUAGUCAAUGGAAUAUUGCUAGAAAAUUCCAGAUCUGACAGAAAACCUUUAAGCCAAAUUAAUUCACAAGCUGCGAACAUCAUCACAUGAUAUUCAGCUUUAGCACUAGAACGUGCACCAACAUGUUGCUUUUACUACGCUAGGCGACUGAAUUACCACCAAUAAACAUGCAAAAACCAGUGGUUUCUUAACAUAGCUAUGCAACAGAUAACACUCUGUGAGAUCAAAACGUUUUAGAAACAUGCAUGUGUAUUAUUAAAGCUCUAGUUUUUUCUAAAAGUCUCUGUUUUUACAUUCAGCUAUUUUAUUUUGUUGAGGUGUGCCAACAUAGUUGGAAUAGACCCUUGGAUGGUGGUUUCUGAAUGGAUCAUAAGAACUUUUGCGCACUCUAUUCGAGCCCAUUUGUUAUGUCUUUUAAUUGAGGUUCACCAAAGUAUGUGGUUUGCUAACUUAACUGCUGACACAAGAUGACAAUUUUUUGCUGCAGGAAUUAACACUAGCUGUGGUUUCUUCAUUCCAAUAAUAACUGUAGGAAAAAGGUGAAUGUUAAGUUUGUCGGUAUAAGAUCCAAUCUAGUUUGACAGGUUAAUUUGAUGAUUCAUUUAUUCAAAAUUUAGCUUGAUAGGUUAACUUGGUGACCAGGUCAACACAAUGAUUCACUGACUCUGAGCUUGGCUUGGCUGAGUUAGCAAAAAAACCAAGUAUAUUUUAUUUACCAAAACAACGAUGUUGUUUAAGUUUUUUUUUUAAAAAAAAAAGCUUGGGAUGAAUUGAAUCAAACCAUCAAUCUACAGCCCCACCUUGCGUAGAGUAGACUCCUCAGUCAAGUAUUAUAAUUAUGGUUAUGUGUGAACUAUAAAAUAGAAAGAAAUGACAAGUUGAUCUCUCUUUAGAAAAAAGGAAGAUGAAUUGCCUACGGUAGUGAAGAAUUCAUGUCUAACUUAUAUAGCUGGGUUAGUUGUGGAUUUUUCAUGACUAAACUACGUGGAUUGUCUAACAGAGUUAUUUAUUGAUCAACAAGACAUGGCUAAGUUCAAGAAGAGGCUUGGGCUAAGUACAGUGCUCGGUUUGACAAAAAAAAUCCCAUAAUUCUUCAUAUAUUCUUUUAAUCACUCACAAAUUUAGUUAGGAAAUUCCAAAGAUUGAGACCCAAAAAUUCUUUAAAUUAGGCUUAGAAGGAGCUCAUCAAGUUAGAUUUGUUAUUUUUUAUUAUUAUUUUAAACUUUUUAGUUUGGUUAGAACUUUUAUUGCUUGGUAUUUUAUGAUUAGGACUUUUAGUUUCAUUUCUUGUUUACGUCAAUUUUUUAUAUUUAUUUAAAUAAUUAUAAAUAUAUUAAAAGAUACAAACUAUUGAAGAGAAAAUAUGCAGUAAUAAAUUUUUAAAUUAAAAUUUUUAUGUCGGUAUUCUACAAAAUUUAACGGGUUUGUGUUUCAUGUUUUUUUUUUUAUUAUUAUUAUUAUCCCCCGCAUCACUUACUUCCAAAUGAUGGUGUGAUAGCUGAAGCCAAUCAGUGAUGAUCUACUGGUGGAGGAAGCAAAUAUCACUUGCUUUUGUGUGGGGUGAAGAACAAGAUGCAUACCCCCUCGCACGUCACUACACAUGUAAGCAAGUUGGCAUUUGUUGGUGUGAUAGAUUUUAAUGCUAUAAAACAAAAGGAAGAAAAGAAAAGAAAAGGUGCGGUCAUUCCAUAAGGCCUCAACGUUAAUUAACUUCAUCAGAACUAAUUAAUGUUGGAUAGGAAAUAGAUCACUACAACAUGACCAAAUCAAACAAACUAUAUAUAUAUAUGAUAAUGACUUUAACUUAAUUUAAUUUGAGGAAUGAAAUUAAGCCACAGUAGGAAUUGAUGAUCAUUGAUGGAAUCAACAUGGUAGAUAAGGCUUAAGCUCUUCGAGGUUUGCUUCCUAACCAUUGAUCAAUCAAGUUUCCAAAAGCAACAUACGAAGAUCCACCCUCCAUCACAGCUUUCUUCGCCAUUUCACUGGUUUCUUUGGCCUUGUUCCUAAGUUCACCACCAUGUUCCAUCACGGUUUUCACAGCUUUUGUUAUCACCUCCGCCUUCACAAAAUCUGUAGGACAAUCUCUCCUAAAAUCCAACGUCAAUUCCACUGCUAAUCCCAAGUCUUUCACCAGCUGAAAUGCAUUCAUGUGUUGCUCAGCAUGCAAUGGCCAAGUUAUAAUAGGCACAGCAUACCACAAGGUCUCCAAAGUUGAGUUCCAUCCACAGUGUGAUACGAAAGCGCCUACUGCUUUAUGUGCCAAGAUUUCUACUUGUGGUGCCCAUCCACAUAGCAUCCCAAUAUUUUUAGUUCUUUCCAAGAAUCCCUGUGGCAAGAUCUCUCCAUAGUUGUCAAAAAAACUAGCUUGCAGCUUCCCCUUGGAGGGUUUCAACCGAAUUGACCAUAAGAACCUCUGUCCACUCCUCUCGAGCCCGAUUGCAAUUUCUUUCAACUGAGCUUCAUCAAAGCAUCCUCUACUCCCGAAGCACAAGAACACCACUGAUUUUUCAGGUUGAUCAUCAAGCCAUUUCAAGAUCUCGUCACGCUUGACGGCAUCGGAUCCUGACAGACUCUUUCCCCUGUGAUCAAUCAAUGGCCCAACAUUGAAAAUAGGUGGUAUAUCAUCUCUAGCCAAAAGAGCACUAACUGCAUGGGACUCAGCUUCUGAAAAUGUAUUAACAAUGAUACCGUUCGACUCCUUAAACUUUCUUCCAUGGUUUGCAAUAGCCUCAUAUGCCACAUCGGUGUGCAAUAACGGCAUAACACGGUAAGGCACGGGAUUUGAAUAACAGGGGAUGAUAUAGUCAGGGUCAGUAGGGCUAAACUUAGGCUCACCCUUGUCUUCUCUAUCUGAAAGGUAAAGCGUCAAGGCAAGAAAGGCAGCAUCACAAGUGUAAAAAACAUGAGAAGGGACCCCAAGUUCUUUGGAAACAUCAAUAAAUGCAGUGCAAAACAUAUCAACAACAACACUAGCAAUUGGUGCAGGGUUGUGGGCCAUGACUAG
This 7957-nucleotide long non-coding RNA is filed under the name Populus trichocarpa (black cottonwood). RNAcentral's name for it is "long non-coding RNA (PTRI_LNC003560)". The record is from RNAcentral. Lineage: Eukaryota; Viridiplantae; Streptophyta; Magnoliopsida; Malpighiales; Salicaceae.